AAAUUGAAGAGUUUGAUCAUGGCUCAGAUUGAACGCUGGCGGCAGGCCUAACACAUGCAAGUCGAACGGUAACAGGAAGCAGCUUGCUGCUUUGCUGACGAGUGGCGGACGGGUGAGUAAUGUCUGGGAAACUGCCUGAUGGAGGGGGAUAACUCCUGGAAACGGUGGCUAAUACCGCAUAACGUCGCAAGACCAAAGAGGGGG
This 204-nucleotide ribosomal RNA is filed under the name Salmonella enterica subsp. enterica serovar Oslo. RNAcentral's name for it is "partial 16S ribosomal RNA". It matches the Rfam family "Bacterial small subunit ribosomal RNA", at positions 1 to 210 of the family's 1533-position model. The record is from RNAcentral. Lineage: Bacteria; Pseudomonadati; Pseudomonadota; Gammaproteobacteria; Enterobacterales; Enterobacteriaceae.